GACGAACGCUGGCGGCGUGCUUAACACAUGCAAGUCGAACGGAAAGGCCCUGCUUUUGUGGGGUGCUCGAGUGGCGAACGGGUGAGUAACACGUGAGUAACCUGCCCUUGACUUUGGGAUAACUUCAGGAAACUGGGGCUAAUACCGGAUAGGAGCUCCUGCUGCAUGGUGGGGGUUGGAAAGUUUCGGCGGUUGGGGAUGGACUCGCGGCUUAUCAGCUUGUUGGUGGGGUAGUGGCUUACCAAGGCUUUGACGGGUAGCCGGCCUGGGAGGGUGACCGGCCACAUUGGGACUGAGAUACGGACCAGAAUCGUACGGGAGGCAGAAGUGGGGAAUAUUGCACAAUGGGCGGAAGCCUGAUGCGGCAACGCCGCGUGCGGGAUGACGGGCUUCGGGUUGUAAACCGCUUUCGCCUGUGACGAAGCGUGAGUGACGGUAAUGGGUAAAGAAGCACCGGCUAACUACGUG
RNAcentral lists this ribosomal RNA (468 nucleotides) under uncultured bacterium. RNAcentral describes it as "partial 16S ribosomal RNA". It matches the Rfam family "Bacterial small subunit ribosomal RNA", at positions 28 to 507 of the family's 1533-position model. The record is from RNAcentral.